This 898-nucleotide ribosomal RNA is filed under the name uncultured bacterium. RNAcentral's name for it is "bacterial SSU rRNA". It matches the Rfam family "Bacterial small subunit ribosomal RNA", at positions 8 to 888 of the family's 1533-position model. The record is from RNAcentral.
AGAGUUUGAUCAUGGCUCAGGACGAACGCUGGCGGCGUGCCUAAUACAUGCAAGUCGAGCGAAUCAAUAGGAGCUUGCUCCUGUUGGUUAGCGGCGGACGGGUGAGUAACACGUGGGCAACCUGCCUGUAAGACUGGGAUAACUUCGGGAAACCGGAGCUAAUACCGGAUAAUCCUUUUCCUCUCAUGAGGGAAAGCUGAAAGACGGUUUCGGCUGUCACUUACAGAUGGGCCCGCGGCGCAUUAGCUAGUUGGUGAGGUAACGGCUCACCAAGGCGACGAUGCGUAGCCGACCUGAGAGGGUGAUCGGCCACACUGGGACUGAGACACGGCCCAGACUCCUACGGGAGGCAGCAGUAGGGAAUCUUCCACAAUGGACGAAAGUCUGAUGGAGCAACGCCGCGUGAGCGAUGAAGGCCUUCGGGUCGUAAAGCUCUGUUGUUAGGGAAGAACAAGUAUCGGAGUAACUGCCGGUACCUUGACGGUACCUAACCAGAAAGCCACGGCUAACUACGUGCCAGCAGCCGCGGUAAUACGUAGGUGGCAAGCGUUGUCCGGAAUUAUUGGGCGUAAAGCGCGCGCAGGCGGUCCUUUAAGUCUGAUGUGAAAGCCCACGGCUCAACCGUGGAGGGUCAUUGGAAACUGGGGGACUUGAGUACAGAAGAGGAAAGCGGAAUUCCACGUGUAGCGGUGAAAUGCGUAGAGAUGUGGAGGAACACCAGUGGCGAAGGCGGCUUUCUGGUCUGUAACUGACGCUGAGGCGCGAAAGCGUGGGGAGCAAACAGGAUUAGAUACCCUGGUAGUCCACGCCGUAAACGAUGAGUGCUAAGUGUUAGGGGGUUUCCGCCCCUUAGUGCUGCAGCUAACGCAUUAAGCACUCCGCCUGGGGAGUACGGCCG